UUCGGGAUAMYACUUCGAGAGGGGUGWUUAUGCYUGAUAWSCCCACGSACUCUUAGGMGGUUUGCGAGAAAAAGGGCGCCUCAGUAUACMCUCCUGUCGCMAGAUGAGUCCGCGGCCCAUMAGYUAGUUGGUAGGGUUAMGGCCUACCAAGGCGWCMAUGGGUAGCUMGUCUGAGAGGAUMAUCAGCCACWCUGGAWSUGAGACACGGUCCAGWCUCCUACGGGAGGCKGCAGUGGGGAAUUUUGCGCAAUGGGCGAAARCCUGACGCAGCAACGCCGCGUGAGUGAUGAAGGCCUUCGGGUCGUAAAGCUCUGUCAGUGGGGAAGAACCGCCGGGUGGUUAAUACCUGCCUGGUCUGACGGUACCCACAAAGGAAGCACCGGCUAACUCCGUGCCAGCAGCCGCGGUAAUACGGAGGGUGCAAGCGUUGUUCGMAAUUAUUGGGCGUAAAGCGCGWGUAGGCGGUUUGUUAAGUCUGGUGUGAAAGCCCUGGGCUCAACCUGGGAAGUGCAUUGGAUACUGGCAAACUUGAGUACGGGAGAGGAUAGUGGAAUUUCGAGUGUAGGGGUGAAAUCCGUAGAUAUUCGAAGGAACACCGGUGGSGAAGGCGGCUGUCUGGACCGAUKCUGWCGCUGAGACGCGAAAGCGUGGGGAGCAAACAGGAUUAGAUACCCUGGUAGUCCACGCCGUAAACGAUGGGUACUAGGUGUUGCGGG
Molecule: ribosomal RNA, 716 nt
Filed under: uncultured Geobacteraceae bacterium
Lineage: Bacteria; Pseudomonadati; Thermodesulfobacteriota; Desulfuromonadia; Geobacterales; Geobacteraceae
Description: partial 16S ribosomal RNA
Rfam family: Bacterial small subunit ribosomal RNA
Source: RNAcentral